UCGGAAGGGCAAGUACUGUCGGCGCCCAGGUCUGGCUCCACACGCCAUUUCGGUGUGGUGGCCUAGUGCCUUUGGGCAGUGUUUCAUACCUGACUGCACUGGCUCCCACCACGGAGCUGGUCCUAAGCUGGGUGCAAACAUU
Molecule: small nucleolar RNA, 142 nt
Filed under: Fukomys damarensis (Damara mole-rat)
Lineage: Eukaryota; Metazoa; Chordata; Mammalia; Rodentia; Bathyergidae
Description: Small nucleolar RNA SNORA74 (ENSFDAG00000001316.1)
Source: RNAcentral